This 89-nucleotide microRNA precursor is filed under the name Mustela putorius furo (domestic ferret). RNAcentral describes it as "miRNA (ENSMPUG00000021462.1)". The record is from RNAcentral. Lineage: Eukaryota; Metazoa; Chordata; Mammalia; Carnivora; Mustelidae.
AUAUACAUAUAUAUGUAUAUAUGUAUACACACACACAUUAUAUGUACAUGUGUACAUAUACAUGUAUAUAUAUAUGAAAAAGUGGUAUA